AGUAACACGUGAUAACCUACCUAUAAGACUGGGAUAACGUUCGGGAAACCGGAGCUAAUACCGGAUAAUAUAUUGAACCGCAUGGUUCAAUAGUGAAAGACGGUUUUGCUGUCACUUAUAGAUGGAUCCGCGCCGCAUUAGCUAGUUGGUAAGGUAACGGCUUACCAAGGCAACGAUGCGUAGCCGACCUGAGAGGGUGAUCGGCCACACUGGAACUGAGACACGGUCCAGACUCCUACGGGAGGCAGCAGCC
This 253-nucleotide ribosomal RNA is filed under the name uncultured Staphylococcus sp. Its description in RNAcentral is "partial 16S ribosomal RNA". It matches the Rfam family "Bacterial small subunit ribosomal RNA", at positions 109 to 355 of the family's 1533-position model. Lineage: Bacteria; Bacillati; Bacillota; Bacilli; Caryophanales; Staphylococcaceae. The record is from RNAcentral.